This is an RNA transcript of Vombatus ursinus (common wombat), 1318 nucleotides long. It is a transcript of the gene named DnaJ heat shock protein family (Hsp40) member C5 gamma, with no coding region annotated. The transcript is spliced from 4 exons. NCBI's taxonomy places the organism in Eukaryota, Metazoa, Chordata, Mammalia, Diprotodontia, Vombatidae. The record is from RefSeq and is a predicted model, not a curated record.
CGACAAAAAGUCCGCGGAGCCGUUCUCUGCUUGCUGUCUCCUGCGCAGCUGUCAAACCAACGGUGACAAGUGACGGGAGAGUUGACUGCGCAGACGCAGACGCGGAGCUGCUUCGGCAGGACUAGACCGUGGCUUGUAGGCGGUGCCUGGUCCUCUUGUGUACACUUCUUUCUUGUUGCUGCUGCUGUUGCUGCUGCUGCUUUUGCUGUGGGAUGAGCGUACCACCAGAAUAUGAGUAUUUUAAGUCCAACAGUGAUCUACAGACGCAACAUCCAGACACAUAGGCAGACACAACGUCCAAGGACAGGUGCUGACCCUGUGAAUGUGUCUUCUGCUGCCCAGUCUACUGUAUACACUGAAGAAGGGGACCUCUAGCCCCGGUCCUGAUAUUAACCCCGCUCCUCGCCUAUACUGAGUCCAGCACGUGGAUGGAAGAGGACAAAUUUUUUUCCAUGAGAGAAAUACUUUCAAAGAUUACGCAGAAGAGAAGAAGAAACAGGUCCACACAGUCUUAAAAAUGCACUCCAGCAAAUAAAUUUCAAGCUUUGAUUGGAACUUUUUAAGUGCUGGCACUCCAGGUACCUAUCUUUCACUAAAGUCGGAUUGAUGCCUCACUGGUCAAAUGGAGGCAAAGUUGGAUUCUUUAUGACUAUGCCAACACCAAACUCUGCCUGUUCCUAUCAAAGCUAAAAAGGCUUUGAGUACAGGCUGGUGAUACAUACUUUACGUAUGUCUGACGACUAACCUGGCUAAAGCCCGAGAGAUUCAUCAUGAGCUUGGUCACAACAAGGUGAUUCAGUUUUUUGCUCAUAGCAAUUCUUGAACAUCUGUAAAUUCAGGGGAGUUGUGAUCUGCACCUGUAGAAUGAGUUCCACAUUGAUGAAAUAAAUUGUCCUUGAAUCUAGGUACCACUAGUCCAUUGGAUGCCAAAUUCCAGGCUGACUUAGGCAGAGUCCUGGGGGAAAUAUGGGGCAAGGACCAUCUUUUGCCAUGAAUCUGAUACAUUGUGGAUAGAGAAAGGAUUUUUGUGUCAGGUCCAAGAUGUACCUAAAUUUCCAUUGUCCUUGCUAGGACUCUCCAGCUCUUGGGCCCUCUCAGCUGCUGAGCCAUGGCUGGAUACCUUUGCUGGGAUUAUUUGUAGGGUCAUAGCCUCUGUGUCUAGGAUAAGACCCAAGCUGGAGCACGACUGAGCAAGAACCAAUGGGAGCCCUUUUAGAAUCGGAGUGUGAAAGACUGAAGUAUUCCUAUCUCUUUUUCUGGCUCAGAUUUGCCCCCUAUUCCCAAAAAGGCUCUAGCCCCUCCUCCAGCCCCUAGUCUG